RNAcentral lists this ribosomal RNA (690 nucleotides) under uncultured bacterium. Its description in RNAcentral is "bacterial SSU rRNA". It matches the Rfam family "Bacterial small subunit ribosomal RNA", at positions 32 to 715 of the family's 1533-position model. The record is from RNAcentral.
AACGCUAGCUACAGGCUUAACACAUGCAAGUCGAGGGGCAGCACAGUGUAGCAAUACAUGGGUGGCGACCGGCGCACGGGUGCGUAACGCGUAUCCAACCUUCCCGUUACUCUUGGAUAGCCUUCCGAAAGGGAGAUUAAUACAAGAUGGUAUUCAAAUUCCGCAUGUUAUUUGAAUUAAAGAUUUAUCGGUAACGGAUGGGGAUGCGUGACAUUAGAUAGUAGGCGGGGUAACGGCCCACCUAGUCUACGAUGUCUAGGGGUUCUGAGAGGAAGGUCCCCCACACUGGAACUGAGACACGGUCCAGACUCCUACGGGAGGCAGCAGUGAGGAAUAUUGGUCAAUGGGCGAGAGCCUGAACCAGCCAAGUAGCGUGAAGGAUGAAGGUUCUAUGGAUUGUAAACUUCUUUUAUAUGGGAAUAAAGUCACCUACGUGUAGGUGUUUGUAUGUACCAUAUGAAUAAGGAUCGGCUAACUCCGUGCCAGCAGCCGCGGUAAUACGGAGGAUCCGAGCGUUAUCCGGAUUUAUUGGGUUUAAAGGGAGCGUAGAUGGGGAUUUAAGUCAGUUGUGAAAGUUUGCGGCUCAACCGUAAAAUUGCAGUUGAUACUGGAUUUCUUGAGUGCAGUUGAGGUAGGCGGAAUUCGUGGUGUAGCGGUGAAAUGCUUAGAUAUCACGAAGAACUCCGAUUG